GAUGAAGAACGUAGCGAAAUGCGAUACUUGGUGUGAAUUGCAGAAUCCCGUGAACCAUCGAGUCUUUGAACGCAAGUUGCGCCCGAAGCCAUUAGGCCGAGGGCACGCCUGCCUGGGCGUCACACGUCGUUGCCCCCCCAUCUACUCCUUCGGGAUUGCGGGGGGCGGAUGAUGGCCUCCCGUGCGCCUCGUCGCGCGGUUGGCAUAAAUGCCAAGUCCUCGGCGACGCACGCCACGACAAUCGGUGGUUGCGAAACCUCGGUUGCCCGUCGUGUGCGGUCGUCGCGCAUCGAGGGCUCGAAAAAAUUGCCGGGCUCCGGCUCGGCUUUCAACGCGACCCCAGGUCAGGCGGGGUUACCCGCUGAAUUUAAGCAUAUCAAUGAGCGGAGGA
This 391-nucleotide unclassified non-coding RNA is filed under the name soil metagenome. RNAcentral describes it as "partial contains 5.8S ribosomal RNA, internal transcribed spacer 2, and large subunit ribosomal RNA". The stretch from base 1 to 122 matches the Rfam family "5.8S ribosomal RNA", at positions 35 to 154 of the family's 154-position model. The record is from RNAcentral.